AUUGAACGCUGGCGGCAUGCCUUACACAUGCAAGUCGAACGGCAGCACGGGAGCAAUCCUGGUGGCGAGUGGCGAACGGGUGAGUAAAGUAUCGGAACGUGCCCAGUCGUGGGGGAUAACGUAGCGAAAGUUACGCUAAUACCGCAUACGAUCUAUGGAUGAAAGCGGGGGAUCGCAAGACCUUGCGCGAUUGGAGCGGCCGAUAUCAGAUUAGGUAGUUGGUGGGGUAAAGGCUCACCAAGCCGACGAUCUGUAGCUGGUCUGAGAGGACGACCAGCCACACUGGGACUGAGACACGGCCCAGACUCCUACGGGAGGCAGCAGUGGGGAAUUUUGGACAAUGGGCGAAAGCCUGAUCCAGCCAUGCCGCGUGCAGGAUGAAGGCCUUCGGGUUGUAAACUGCUUUUGUACGGAACGAAAAGGUUUGGCCUAAUAAGCUGAGCUCAUGACGGUACCGUAAGAAUAAGCACCGGCUAACUACGUGCCAGCAGCCGCCGCAU
This 500-nucleotide ribosomal RNA is filed under the name uncultured bacterium. RNAcentral describes it as "partial 16S ribosomal RNA". It matches the Rfam family "Bacterial small subunit ribosomal RNA", at positions 30 to 523 of the family's 1533-position model. The record is from RNAcentral.